UCGCUCAGCACCUCGACCAAAGGCUUCAACACUGGAGCACACAGACACAUACCAAUCAAAAAAGUGCUGCAAGAACAAAGGAUGUCUGGCUUUAGAGUUUGUGUUUACCAGCUGACCCCAAAUACAGAUGCAGCCUUCAGGUCAGUGAAGUGUGUGUGUAGGAUUCGGAUGGUGUCAUAACACACCACAUUGACGAGGUCAAUCUCAGCAAGCCUGGAUCGCAACUGCCCAAUCAUCUGCCACCAAUCCUCUGACAGCAUG
Long non-coding RNA from Micropterus salmoides (largemouth bass), 261 nucleotides. RefSeq lists it as uncharacterized. The transcript is spliced from 3 exons. Lineage: Eukaryota; Metazoa; Chordata; Actinopteri; Centrarchiformes; Centrarchidae. The record is from RefSeq and is a predicted model, not a curated record.